UGGGGAAUAUUGCACAAUGGGCGCAAGCCUGAUGCAGCCAUGCCGCGUGUGUGAAGAAGGCCUCGGUUGUAAAGCACUUUCAGCGAGGAGGAAGGUGGUGAGCUUAAUACGCUCAUCAAUUGACGUUACUCGCAGAAGAAGCACCGGCUAACUCCGUGCCAGCAGCCGCGGUAAUACGGAGGGUGCAAGCGUUAAUCGGAAUUACUGGGCGUAAAGCGCACGCAGGCGGUUUGUUAAGUCAGAUGUGAAAUCCCCGGGCUCAACCUGGGAACUGCAUUUGAAACUGGCAAGCUAGAGUCUCGUAGAGGGGGGUAGAAUUCCAGGUGUAGCGGUGAAAUGCGUAGAGAUCUGGAGGAAUACCGGUGGCGAAGGCGGCCCCCUGGACGAAGACUGACGCUCAGGUGCGAAAGCGUGGGGCAGCAAACAGGAUUAGAUAUCCCUGGUAGUCCACGCUGUAAACGAUGUNGAAUUUUGGAGGUUGUGCCCCUUGAGGCGUGGCUUCCGAGCUAACGCGUUAAAUCGACCGCCUGGGGAGUACGGCCGCAAGG
This 548-nucleotide ribosomal RNA is filed under the name uncultured bacterium. Its description in RNAcentral is "partial 16S ribosomal RNA". It matches the Rfam family "Bacterial small subunit ribosomal RNA", at positions 355 to 893 of the family's 1533-position model. The record is from RNAcentral.